This 220-nucleotide ribosomal RNA is filed under the name uncultured bacterium. RNAcentral's name for it is "partial 16S ribosomal RNA". It matches the Rfam family "Bacterial small subunit ribosomal RNA", at positions 111 to 334 of the family's 1533-position model. The record is from RNAcentral.
UAAUAUAUCGGAACGUGCCCUAGAGUGGGGGAUAACGUAGCGAAAGUUACGCUAAUACCGCAUACGAUCUACGGAUGAAAGCGGGGGAUCGCAAGACCUCGCGCUCAUGGAGCGGCCGAUAUCUGAUUAGCUAGUUGGUAGGGUAAAAGCCUACCAAGGCAACGAUCAGUAGCUGGUCUGAGAGGACGACCAGCCACACUGGGACUGAGACACGGCCCAG